UAUAAAUUACAUAUGGAUUGAAAUGAGUUAAAAAUAUAUCUAUAUACUCCCUCCGUUCAGAUGUUUCCAAAAAAAAAAACAACCCAUUUAGAAAAAAAAAAUACUAUUUCAGUAUGGAGUAUGUGCGGGCUGAAAUGAGUUAACAAACACACUAACACCUAGUUUGGCAACACAGUUUUUGCAAAACCACAGUAUUUCAAAACCUCUGUAUUUUAAUGUGUGGACAAUAUACUUUGGUUUCUCAAAAGUAUAGUUUUUCUAAGUUUUGGUAAAACCGUGGAGGCGUUUGGCAAAGGGCAGUUUUAUUAAGUUUCUCUGAUUUUGACAGAUUGUUCUGUUGUUGCAUGGAUAAUCUUGACCAUACCUAGCUGCACUCACGGCUGGAUCAACUCGUGCUAACGGCCGCCGUAUGCAUGCUGGGCAUGGGCACGUUCUCUACUGGAUGCUAGGACACAUAGUCGAGUUAUCUUUUGUGAUCCAUCAAAGAUGGAGCAUUCUGACAGGCACUGAAGGUGCAGCUUGCGCGUCUAGAAGAAGCAGUGGUAAAAAGGAGCAGGGGCUAAUAAGUCAUCCGUAUAUGUACUCUGGCCAGAUAGAUCUAUCAUCUAGCAUGUUCACCCGCAAAAAUCAUCUAGCAAAGUAUUGGUCAUAAGAAGAUGAACUCAAAGAGACCAAUGAGCCAGCGUUUCUCAGUUUUAAAAAAAGAAGUGCCGACCUCUUUUUCAAAUACUACAAAAAUACCACAGUUUUACAGAUACUAUGGUUUCUUAAGCUACAAUAUUUUUUUUAUCCAAACACCUCAAAGUAUUUAAUACUGAAGUUUUUUUAGAAACCACAGUAUUACUAGAAAACUUCAAAAAAUACUUAGCUCCCAAACGCACCCUAAAAUGUCUCUAUAUAUAUCCAAUUCAGAAAAAGGCUAAUCGUAGAACAUCUUAUAUUUGUGAAUGGGGUAGUACCCAAUUUCUUCUUUUCUAUAUUUAAUUCAAGAAUUAUGUCGAAUAACGAACGAACGAUAGGACCAUGUUUACCUUUUGUUCUGAUUGACAGCAAGGUCGACUCCGCCGCUGUUUGUAAGCUUGUCCGCUGCGCCCUCAAACACUACAACUCCAAAAACCCGGGCGCCGACUUCGAGUAUCCCGCCGAGCUGACCACGGAGAUGAAGGCCACUGGUAUCAGUUUCAGGGAACGUUUCUGGUACCACGUCGGUUUCUUGGCGCGCCGGAGCUUACCUUUUUUUUUUCACUUUUCUCUCCAUUUUUUUCCUUGGUCCCUGACCGCCACACACUUUUUGUUAUUACCAUGUUCUCCCUGCUAUGAAUCAAUGAAAUAGCUAGCAAUUGCUGGACAGUUUAAAAAAAAAGAUGAUGAGUUCCAACACUUCUUUGCCGAGCUACGCUUCAAUGAGUGGACCCGCAGACCAAAUGUUCAAACAUGCACCAUCUUAGAAAAGCCGUUGUGCCGCUUCAGAAGCAGGUGUGCUUUUUGUACAGAUGGGUCUAAGAUUUUGCACCCAAGCGAUACGGAAUUUGCGUGUGGAAAGGAGGGGCACGAAAAGGAAUUCUUCAGCAAGAAGGAUAUGCAAGUGUGGCCGAUUGAUCCUAUGAGACAUGCAUCGCGGACGUAGGAUAUUUAUAUGGUGUUCUUUGUAUUUGUCAUCCUUGUUGUUUAAUUUCCUGGAUCAUAAGAGAAAUAAAUUAUUGUCUGAGCCUCACCGCGCACACGAUCCUUGCUUUUUGAGCAUGAAAGACGUCUAUAAAAUUUGAGCAGUUGGAGAACUAAAUCAAAAUAUAUGCUGUAAGCUAGAUUACCACAAUCCAUGUGCUGACUCUCAGACACUCUGUUCAGGAUUAAACUUUGGUCAUUGGACAUAGGUGGCAUAUGGAAUCCAUAA
Triticum urartu is the source of this 1894-nucleotide non-coding RNA. Lineage: Eukaryota; Viridiplantae; Streptophyta; Magnoliopsida; Poales; Poaceae. The record is from RefSeq and is a predicted model, not a curated record.